GGUUAAGCGACUAAGCGUACACGGUGGAUGCCCUGGCAGUCAGAGGCGAUGAAGGACGUGCUAAUCUGCGAAAAGCGUCGGUAAGGUGAUAUGAACCGUUACAGCCGGCGAUGUCCGAAUGGGGAAACCCAGUGCAAUUCGUUGCACUAUCGUUAACUGAAUACAUAGGUUAACGAGGCGAACCGGGGGAACUGAAACAUCUAAGUACCCCGAGGAAAAGAAAUCAACCGAGAUUCCCCCAGUAGCGGCGAGCGA
This 255-nucleotide ribosomal RNA is filed under the name Klebsiella aerogenes. RNAcentral's name for it is "partial 23S ribosomal RNA". It matches the Rfam family "Bacterial large subunit ribosomal RNA", at positions 1 to 256 of the family's 2925-position model. RNAcentral also lists the same sequence under 7 other names. The record is from RNAcentral. Lineage: Bacteria; Pseudomonadati; Pseudomonadota; Gammaproteobacteria; Enterobacterales; Enterobacteriaceae.